This 660-nucleotide long non-coding RNA is filed under the name Mustela putorius furo (domestic ferret). RNAcentral describes it as "lncRNA (ENSMPUG00000025180.1)". Lineage: Eukaryota; Metazoa; Chordata; Mammalia; Carnivora; Mustelidae. The record is from RNAcentral.
AUGACCGCUCCAUUCAAGCAAGUAUCAAAGGGUUCAAUCUGGAGGCAGAAACUUGAAAAAGAAGAGCUGUGCCAGUGCCGUGCACUGACGGAAGGAAAGGAAAUGCCGGGGUCAGCGUUGAAGCUUUGCCCUCGACUUCUCCAAGAAAACUUUGAGUUCGGGUCCAGUCCCAUCCUCAGUCAAGAGACUGGCAAGAGCAUUGUGGUGGAUGGGAACAUGGGGCCACCGUGGACUGAUGGCCCUUUCCCAUCAUUUGGCUAGAAUACAGCUGUUGGUUACUGGGAGCAAAAGACUUAGUGUGAGCAUGGUAGUGGUCCCCUCCCCCCAUUCAAGACUGGCUAAAAUGAACAGGUCAGACAGAGUUCAAAAGCUGAAAGCCUAAGGCUAGGAAUUGUCUUUUAAGUAAUCCGUCCCCCACCUCAGUUAAAUUUGAGUGUAGAUGUACUAGAAGAACCAGGACUUAAGCAUUAAUCUUGGUUAUUUAAAACUGCUCUGUUUGAAGUGCAUAAUUCUUAGUGGACAAUGUCUGGUUUUCUUAAUUAAUACAACUCUUAAGGAUGAAUUUGAGUAUCUUCUUUAGCCAACAUUUUCCCCUUGAAGAGACCAGUGAUGUCAGAGACCUGGACUCUGAAGCCACAAGAUCACCAUCUAGUGGUUAAA